GAUGAACGCUGGCGGCGUGCCUAAUACAUGCAAGUCGAGCGAACAGACGAGGAGCUUGCUCCUCUGACGUUAGCGGCGGACGGGUGAGUAACACGUGGAUAACCUACCUAUAAGACUGAGAUAACUUCGGGAAACCGGAGCUAAUACCGGAUAAUAUAUUGAACCGCAUGGUUCAAUAGUGAAAGACGGUUUUGCUGUCACUUAUAGAUGGAUCCGCGCCGCAUUAGCUAGUUGGUAAGGUAACGGCUUACCAAGGCAACGAUGCGUAGCCGACCUGAGAGGGUGAACGGCCACACUGGAACUGAGACACGGUCCAGACUCCUACGGGAGGCAGCAGUAGGGAAUCUUCCGCAAUGGGCGAAAGCCUGACGGAGCAACGCCGCGUGAGUGAUGAAGGUCUUCGGAUCGUAAAACUCUGUUAUUAGGGAAGAACAAAUGUGUAAGUAACUAUGCACGUCUUGACGGUACCUAAUCAGAAAGCCACGGCUAACUACGUG
RNAcentral lists this ribosomal RNA (497 nucleotides) under uncultured bacterium. Its description in RNAcentral is "partial 16S ribosomal RNA". It matches the Rfam family "Bacterial small subunit ribosomal RNA", at positions 28 to 507 of the family's 1533-position model. The record is from RNAcentral.